GAUUACAAAAACCCUCUCUGUAGUCGCGGCUG
This is a regulatory RNA element of Dysgonomonas mossii DSM 22836, 32 nucleotides long. It matches the Rfam family "S4-Bacteroidia ribosomal protein leader". The record is from Rfam. NCBI's taxonomy places the organism in Bacteria, Pseudomonadati, Bacteroidota, Bacteroidia, Bacteroidales, Dysgonomonadaceae.